AAAAUAAUGAUAUUUCAAUAAAUUAUAUGUUAUCUCAUAAAUUAUGAAAACGAAAUAAUGUUGUUAUAGACAAUAUUUUCACUUUUAACGUGGUUCUUGAUAUUAUACAGAAUGAGGAUUCUAAACCACAGUCGAUUAAAGAUUGUCAAAAUAGAAAUGAUUGGUCAAAAUAGAAAGAAGUUAUACAGGAGGAAUUGAAUUCUUUGAAGAAACGAAAAGUGUUUGGGCCUGUAAUUCGAACAUCUGAAAAUGUAAUCCCUAUUGGAUAUAAAUGAAUUUUUUGUAUGAAAGAGGAAUAAAAAUAAUUAAAUUACAAGGUACAAAGCCCAACUAGUAGCUCAAGGUUUUUCACAAAGACCAGGAAUUGAUUACGAGAAAACAUAUUCUCCUGUAAUGGACACCAUCACUUUUAGAUUCUUAAUUAGUUUGACCGUAUUACAAAAACUUGAUAUACGCCUUAUGGAUGUAAUAACUGCAUAUUUGUAUGGUUCACUUGAUAGUGACAUAUAUAUGAAAGUCCCGAAAGGACUUAAGAUACUAGGAACAAACGAUGCAUGCCCGAAAAUUAUGUUCUCAAUUAAAUUGCAAUGAUCAUUAUAUGGAUUAAAACAAUCCGGACGUAUGCCGUAUAAUCGUCUUAGUGAAUAUUUGUUGAAUGUGGAAUAUAAAAAUGACGAUGUUUGCCUAUGUAUUUUCAUAAAGAAAACAAAUAGUAAAUUUACAAUUAUGACAAUUUAUGUUGAUGAUUUAAAUUUAAUUGGAACUCCUAAAGAACUCAACAAAAUUGUUGAUUAUUUGAAAAAUAAAUUUGAGUGAAAGAUUUGGAAAAAAUCAAAUUUUGUCUUGGAUUGCAGAUUGAACAUUUCGUAGAUAAAUUAUUUGUUCACCAAUCUACGUAUACAAAAAUAGUUUUAAAACGUUUUUAUAUGAAUAAUGCACAUCCAUUAGCAUCACAUAUGGUUGUUCGAUCACUUGAUGUGAAAAAAGAUCCAUUUCGUCCACUUGAAAAUGGAGAAAAAGUUAUUGAUCCUGAAAUAC
This 1038-nucleotide long non-coding RNA is filed under the name Olea europaea subsp. europaea. Lineage: Eukaryota; Viridiplantae; Streptophyta; Magnoliopsida; Lamiales; Oleaceae. The record is from RNAcentral.